RNAcentral lists this ribosomal RNA (502 nucleotides) under uncultured soil bacterium. RNAcentral's name for it is "bacterial SSU rRNA". It matches the Rfam family "Bacterial small subunit ribosomal RNA", at positions 26 to 494 of the family's 1533-position model. The record is from RNAcentral.
AGAGUGAACGCUGGCGGUAGGCCUAACACAUGCAAGUCGAACGGCAGCACAGUAGGAGCUUGCUCUUACGGGUGGCGAGUGGCGGACGGGUGAGGAAUACAUCGGAAUCUACCUUUUGGUGGGGGGAUAACGUAGGGAAACUUACGCUAAUACCGCAUACGCCCUUCGGGGGAAAGCCGGGGACCAGCAAUGGCCUGGCGCUGAUAGAUGAGCCGAUGUCGGAUUAGCUAGUUGGUGAGGUAAUGGCUCACCAAGGCGACGAUCCGUAGCUGGUCUGAGAGGAUGAUCAGCCACACUGGAACUGAGACACGGUCCAGACUCCUACGGGAGGCAGCAGUGGGGAAUAUUGGACAAUGGGCGCAAGCCUGAUCCAGCCAUACCGCGGUGGUGAACGAAGGCCUUCGGGUUGUAAAAGGUCCCCUUUUAGGUUGGGUAAAAGAAAAGCGUAAUUCGGUUAAAGUUACCCGGUUGUUCGUACGACGGUAACCCAAAAGGAACUUAA